Molecule: transfer RNA, 69 nt
Filed under: Ictidomys tridecemlineatus (thirteen-lined ground squirrel)
Lineage: Eukaryota; Metazoa; Chordata; Mammalia; Rodentia; Sciuridae
Description: Spermophilus tridecemlineatus (thirteen-lined ground squirrel) tRNA
Rfam family: tRNA
About the family: Transfer RNA (tRNA) molecules are approximately 80 nucleotides in length. Their secondary structure includes four short double-helical elements and three loops (D, anti-codon, and T loops). Further hydrogen bonds mediate the characteristic L-shaped molecular structure. tRNAs have two regions of fundamental functional importance: the anti-codon, which is responsible for specific mRNA codon recognition, and the 3' end, to which the tRNAs corresponding amino acid is attached (by aminoacyl-tRNA synthetases). tRNAs cope with the degeneracy of the genetic code in two manners: having more than one tRNA (with a specific anti-codon) for a particular amino acid; and 'wobble' base-pairing, i.e. permitting non-standard base-pairing at the 3rd anti-codon position.
Source: Rfam by way of RNAcentral
GGGAAUGUAGCUUAGUGGUAGAGUGCUUGCCUAGCACACAUAAGGCCCUGGGUUCAAUUCCUAGUCCUG